This 582-nucleotide ribosomal RNA is filed under the name uncultured bacterium. RNAcentral describes it as "bacterial SSU rRNA". It matches the Rfam family "Bacterial small subunit ribosomal RNA", at positions 121 to 716 of the family's 1533-position model. The record is from RNAcentral.
GUGAUCUGCCCUGCACUUCGGGAUAAGCCUGGGAAACUGGGUCUAAUACCGGAUAUGACCUCCUAUCGCAUGGUGGGUGGUGGAAAGAUUUAUCGGUGCAGGAUGGGCCCGCGGCCUAUCAGCUUGUUGGUGGGGUAAUGGCCUACCAAGGCGACGACGGGUAGCCGACCUGAGAGGGUGACCGGCCACACUGGGACUGAGACACGGCCCAGACUCCUACGGGAGGCAGCAGUGGGGAAUAUUGCACAAUGGGCGAAAGCCUGAUGCAGCGACGCCGCGUGAGGGAUGACGGCCUUCGGGUUGUAAACCUCUUUCAGCAGGGACGAAGCGCAAGUGACGGUACCUGCAGAAGAAGCACCGGCUAACUACGUGCCAGCAGCCGCGGUAAUACGUAGGGUGCAAGCGUUGUCCGGAAUUACUGGGCGUAAAGAGUUCGUAGGCGGUUUGUCGCGUCGUUUGUGAAAACCAGCAGCUCAACUGCUGGCUUGCAGGCGAUACGGGCAGACUUGAGUACUGCAGGGGAGACUGGAAUUCCUGGUGUAGCGGUGAAAAUGCGCAGAUAUCAGGAGGAACACCCGGUGG